RNAcentral lists this ribosomal RNA (253 nucleotides) under uncultured bacterium. RNAcentral describes it as "partial 16S ribosomal RNA". It matches the Rfam family "Bacterial small subunit ribosomal RNA", at positions 524 to 776 of the family's 1533-position model. The record is from RNAcentral.
UACGGAGGGUGCGAGCGUUGUCCGGAAUCACUGGGCGUAAAGGGCGCGUAGGCGGCGCGAUAAGGCGGCGGUGAAAGUCCGGGGCUCAACCCCGGAUCGGCCGUGGCGACUGUCGCGCUGGAGCACAGUAGAGGCGGGUGGAAUUCCGGGUGUAGCGGUGGAAUGCGUAGAGAUCCGGAAGAACACCGGUGGCGAAGGCGGCCCGCUGGGCUGUGGCUGACGCUGAGGCGCGACAGCGUGGGGAGCAAACAGG